GUUCUCCUGAAACACAACAGACUACAUCGCUAUCAAGGAGCAUCCUGGCAGCAGCCUUGUUUGUUCGCAGACUGCUUCUGCACUUUCAAGACUCUGAUGUCCGAAAACAGUGGCCUGCAUGUUUCUGGGAGUUCAGGUUUAUGCUGAGUUUUACAGGAUUACUCAAACCAACCUCAAAGAUACCUUCUUUUUUUUGGAUGAAUACGCUAUCAAGUUUUAUCAAUCAUGUGGUGGGCCCUCCAGGAAUUGAGUUUGACACCCCUG
RNAcentral lists this long non-coding RNA (264 nucleotides) under Danio rerio (zebrafish). Its description in RNAcentral is "long non-coding RNA NONDRET013573". Lineage: Eukaryota; Metazoa; Chordata; Actinopteri; Cypriniformes; Danionidae. The record is from RNAcentral.